UACAGAGGUCUCAAGCGUUGUUCGGAUUCAUUGGGCGUAAAGGGUGCGUAGGCGGCGCGGUAAGUCGGGUGUGAAAUCCCUCAGCUCAACUGAGGACGUGCAUCCGAAACUGCAAGGCUUGAGUACUGAAGAGGAUCGCGGAAUUCCCGGUGUAGAGGUGAAAUUCGUAGAUAUCGGGAGGAACACCAGUGGCGAAGGCGGCGAUCUGGGCAGAUACUGACGCUGAGGUGCGAAAGCGUGGGGAGCAAACAGG
This 253-nucleotide ribosomal RNA is filed under the name uncultured bacterium. Its description in RNAcentral is "partial 16S ribosomal RNA". It matches the Rfam family "Bacterial small subunit ribosomal RNA", at positions 524 to 776 of the family's 1533-position model. The record is from RNAcentral.